Molecule: ribosomal RNA, 568 nt
Filed under: uncultured Sordariomycetidae
Lineage: Eukaryota; Fungi; Ascomycota; Sordariomycetes
Description: eukaryotic LSU rRNA
Rfam family: Eukaryotic large subunit ribosomal RNA
Source: RNAcentral
GAAAAGAAACCAACAGGGAUUGCCCUAGUAACGGCGAGUGAAGCGGCAACAGCUCAAAUUUGAAAUCUGGCCCUCGGGUCCGAAUUGUAAUUUGUAGAGGAUGCUUUUGGUGAGGUACCUUCCGAGUUCCCUGGAACGGGACGCCAUAGAGGGUGAGAGCCCCGUCUGGUCGGAUACCGAUCCUCUGUAAAGCUCCUUCGACGAGUCGAGUAGUUUGGGAAUGCUGCUCUAAAUGGGAGGUAUAUGUCUUCUAAAGCUAAAUAUUGGCCAGAGACCGAUAGCGCACAAGUAGAGUGAUCGAAAGAUGAAAAGCACUUUGAAAAGAGAGUUAAAAAGUACGUGAAAUUGUUGAAAGGGAAGCGCUCAUGACCAGACUUGGGCUUGGUUGAUCAUCCAGGGUUCUCCCUGGUGCACUCUUCCAGCCCAGGCCAGCAUCAGUUCGCUGUGGGGGAUAAAGGCUUUGGGAAUGUGGCUCCUCCGGGAGUGUUAUAGCCCAUUGUGUAAUACCCUGUGGUGGACUGAGGUUCGCGCAUCUGCAAGGAUGCUGGCGUAAUGGUCAUCAGCGACC